RNAcentral lists this long non-coding RNA (1036 nucleotides) under Oryzias javanicus (javanese ricefish). RNAcentral describes it as "lncRNA (ENSOJAG00000000980.1)". Lineage: Eukaryota; Metazoa; Chordata; Actinopteri; Beloniformes; Adrianichthyidae. The record is from RNAcentral.
UUUGUACAAUUUCAAAGAUGAAAAAGACAAAGAUGACAUUUUCUUUGAUUUUGACUUUAGUCACUUUUUUCUUCUUUUUUUUUAUACAAUAAGUAUACAUAUAACUGCAGUUAAAUAAUAAAAAAAUGCUGUCCCUUAACAGCAACUAGGCUCUGCUGUGCUGCAGAAGAUAAGAACAUCUUCUCUUUAUAUAUUCUAAUAGUAGAUUCUAGUUUUUGACGUUUUUUGAUCAAUUUUCUGACCUGUUAAAUAUCUAAACAUAAAUGACAACACUUAAUAAACUAAAACAAAUGAACCAAAACCAAAAAAUAAAUUUUUUCAGAUUUUUUGCAUUUUUCUUCAAAGCCAAAGAGCCGCAAUGGAGGAAUAAAAGAGGUGCGUGUUUCUCCAGAGCCUCAGGCUACAGACCCUUGACCUGAUCCGAGUAUGAAAACAUUAAAGACUGCACUCUUUAAAACUUCAGAGUUCUGCUGUGAACUUGGAGGUGAGGGGCUCCUGAGGAGUGGAGGUGGAGGAUUCACUGGGGCCACCCCCUAAAGGGAGGAGCUAAAGGCCAAAAAGAGGAGGAGUUUUGUUGUGUUGUUGUUUACAGUUCUGCAGGUUUUCAUCUUCAUGCAGAUCACUGGAAUGCUCCAUGAUGAAUGUUUCUGCAUAUUUGAUCCCUUCCAUGAUGAUCUGACUGAAUCCUUGUUGAUCAAGGAUUUUCGGUGAAUCCCUCAUCAGAACUGCUUGUGUUUCUGUGCUCAGAUGGAAAGAGGUUUGUGUCAGAGGACGACAGCAGAGUUUGGAGAGGCGGUCUCAACAGUCUUCACGCGCUGCUCAAAGACCUCCAGAGGCUUCAGCUGCUGGACUUCAGAAGGACCAACACUGUUCUGAACUCAGACAAAUCGCUGCUCCACUGUCUCAGGAGGAGAUGAGUCUCGUGGUCGCUCGGCUCCACCAGCAAACUGAGCUCCGCCUCUCUGGAUGUUUCCUCGCUUUAGUGUUCGUCGUGACACAUGAAUAAAGUCUGCUAAACCACGACUUUGACUUUCUG